Molecule: ribosomal RNA, 402 nt
Filed under: uncultured bacterium
Lineage: Bacteria
Also listed under: 1 other name
Description: bacterial SSU rRNA
Rfam family: Bacterial small subunit ribosomal RNA
Source: RNAcentral
UUGGGAAUCUUCGGCAAUGGGCGCAAGCCUGACCGAGCAACGCCGCGUGAGUGAUGAAGGUUUUCGGAUUGUAAAGCUCUGUCUUCCGGGACGAUAAUGACGGUACCGGAGGAGGAAGCCACGGCUAACUACGUGCCAGCAGCCGCGGUAAUACGUAGGUGGCGAGCGUUGUCCGGAAUUACUGGGCGUAAAGGGCGCGUAGGCGGCCUGUCAAGUCAGAUGUGAAAUCCCCGGGCUUAACCCGGGAACUGCAUUUGAAACUGGCGGGCUUGAGGGCAGGAGAGGAAAGCGGAACUCCCAGUGUAGCGGUGAAAUGCGUAGAUAUUGGGAGGAACACCAGUGGCGAAGGCGGCUUUCUGGACUGUCACUGACGCUGAGGCGCGAAAGCCAGGGGAGCGAACG